UUUGGUGAUGAUGGCAGAGAGGUCACACCCGUUCCCAUAUCGAACACGGAAGUUAAGCUCUCUAGCGCCGAUGGUAGUUGGGACCUUGUCCCUGUGAGAGUAGGACGUCGCCAAGC
RNAcentral lists this ribosomal RNA (116 nucleotides) under Bacillus cereus. RNAcentral also lists the same sequence under 3 other names. Lineage: Bacteria; Bacillati; Bacillota; Bacilli; Caryophanales; Bacillaceae. The record is from RNAcentral.